GGAGGGGUGGCCGAGCGGCUUAAGGCAGCGGUCUUGAAAACCGCCGAUGGGAGUCUUGAAAACCGCCGAUGGGAAACCAUCCGAGAGUUCGAAUCUCUCUUCCUCCGCCA
This 110-nucleotide transfer RNA is filed under the name Pantoea sp. Its description in RNAcentral is "tRNA-OTHER". It matches the Rfam family "tRNA". From Rfam's summary of the family: Transfer RNA (tRNA) molecules are approximately 80 nucleotides in length. Their secondary structure includes four short double-helical elements and three loops (D, anti-codon, and T loops). The record is from RNAcentral. Lineage: Bacteria; Pseudomonadati; Pseudomonadota; Gammaproteobacteria; Enterobacterales; Erwiniaceae.